UACGUAGGGGGCAAGCGUUGUCCGGAAUCAUUGGGCGUAAAGCGCGUGUAGGCGGCUCGGUAAGUCCGCUCUGAAAGUCCAGGGCUCAACCCUGGGAUGCGGGUGGAUACUGUCGGGCUCGAGUCCGGAAGAGGCGAGUGGAAUUCCUGGUGUAGCGGUGGAAUGCGUAGAGAUCCGGAAGAACACCGGAGGCGAAGGCGGCUUGCUGGGCGUGAUCUGACGCUGAGGCGCGAAAGCCAGGGGAGCGAACGGG
This 253-nucleotide ribosomal RNA is filed under the name uncultured bacterium. RNAcentral's name for it is "partial 16S ribosomal RNA". It matches the Rfam family "Bacterial small subunit ribosomal RNA", at positions 524 to 776 of the family's 1533-position model. The record is from RNAcentral.